AUUGAACGCUGGCGGCAUGCCUUACACAUGCAAGUCGAACGGCAGCACGGGAGCAAUCCUGGUGGCGAGUGGCGAACGGGUGAGUAAUGUAUCGGAACGUGCCCAGUCGUGGGGGAUAACGUAGCGAAAGCUACGCUAAUACCGCAUACGACCUGAGGGUGAAAGCGGGGGAUCGCAAGACCUCGCGCUAUUGGAGGGGCCGAUAUCAGAUUAGCUAGUUGGUGGGGUAAAAGCCUACCAAGGCGACGAUCUGUAGCUGGUCUGAGAGGACGACCAGCCACACUGGGACUGAGACACGGCCCAGACUCCUACGGGAGGCAGCAGUGGGGAAUUUUGGACAAUGGGCGCAAGCCUGAUCCAGCCAUGCCGCGUGCGGGAAGAAGGCCUUCGGGUUGUAAACCGCUUUUGUCAGGGAAGAAACGCGCUGAGCUAAUACCUCGGCGUAAUGACGGUACCUGAAGAAUAAGCACCGGCUAACUACGUGCCAGCCGCCGCCGUAA
RNAcentral lists this ribosomal RNA (500 nucleotides) under uncultured bacterium. RNAcentral's name for it is "partial 16S ribosomal RNA". It matches the Rfam family "Bacterial small subunit ribosomal RNA", at positions 29 to 523 of the family's 1533-position model. The record is from RNAcentral.